GUGGGGAAUAUUGGACAAUGGGCGAAAGCCUGAUCCAGCAAUGCCGCGUGAGUGAAGAAGGCCUUCGGGUUGUAAAGCUCUUUUACCCGGGAAGAUAAUGACUGUACCGGGAGAAUAAGCCCCGGCUAACUCCGUGCCAGCAGCCGCGGUAAUACGGAGGGGGCUAGCGUUGUUCGGAAUUACUGGGCGUAAAGCGCACGUAGGCGGUCUUUUAAGUCAGAGGUGAAAGCCCGGGGCUCAACUCCGGAAUUGCCUUUGAAACUGGAAGACUUGAACACGGGAGAGGUGAGUGGAAUUCCGAGUGUAGAGGUGAAAUUCGUAGAUAUUCGGAAGAACACCAGUGGCGAAGGCGACUCACUGGCCCGUUACUGACGCUGAGGCGCGAAAGCGUGGGGAGCAAACAGGAUUAGAAACCCCAGUAGUCC
Molecule: ribosomal RNA, 425 nt
Filed under: uncultured bacterium
Lineage: Bacteria
Description: partial 16S ribosomal RNA
Rfam family: Bacterial small subunit ribosomal RNA
Source: RNAcentral